UGGGGAAUAUUGGACAAUGGGCGCAAGCCUGAUCCAGCCAUGCCGCGUGAGUGAUGAAGGCCUUAGGGUUGUAAAGCUCUUUCGCCGGUGAAGAUAAUGACGGUAACCGGAGAAGAAGCCCCGGCUAACUUCGUGCCAGCAGCCGCGGUAAUACGAAGGGGGCUAGCGUUGCUCGGAAUCACUGGGCGUAAAGCGCACGUAGGCGGAUCGUUAAGUCAGGGGUGAAAUCCUGGAGCUCAACUCCAGAACUGCCCUUGAUACUGGCGAUCUCGAGUUCGAGAGAGGUUGGUGGAACUCCGAGUGUAGAGGUGAAAUUCGUAGAUAUUCGGAAGAACACCAGUGGCGAAGGCGGCCAACUGGCUCGAUACUGACGCUGAGGUGCGAAAGCGUGGGGAGCAAAACAGGAUUAGAUACCCUGGUAGUCCACGCCGUAAAACGAUGGAUGCUAGCCGUUGGGGGGUUUACCUCUCAGUGGCGCAGCUAACGCCUUAAGCAUCCCGCCUGGGGAGUACGGUCGCAAGAUUAAAACUCAAAGGAAUUGACGGGGUC
RNAcentral lists this ribosomal RNA (549 nucleotides) under uncultured bacterium. Its description in RNAcentral is "partial 16S ribosomal RNA". It matches the Rfam family "Bacterial small subunit ribosomal RNA", at positions 355 to 920 of the family's 1533-position model. The record is from RNAcentral.